GUUUACAGGUGUGAGCCACGGAGUCCAGCCUCCCUUUAGGUACUUUAAAGAUUCUGCUCUAUUGUCUUUUCACUUGCAUUUCUUAUCCUUGCCUCUCUGUCCCUGGCAUGUUUGGUUGCUUUUUUCCUCUAGAUAUUCUCCUUCCCCCAAAUACCCAGUAGCACAGAUUUUGAAUGAGUAUGAUGUGUCUUAAUGUAGUUUUCUUUAUUUUUUUUUCUGUGUUUGGAGUUUGCUGAGCUUGUUGGAUCUCUGGGUUUAUAGUUUUCAUCAGAUUUUGAAAUGUUUUCAUUCAAUAUUUCUUCAAGUAGUUUUUUUCUGACUACCUCUCUUCUUUUGGGGACUUCAUUUUUAUGUAUAAAAGGCCUCUUGAAAUUGUCCCAUAGCUCACUGAUGCUCUGUGUAUUUUUUCCAGCCUUUUACUUUCUGUAUUUCCAUUUUGUUUUGUUUCUAUUGUGAUGUCUUCAAUUUCACUAAUGUUUUCUUCCACAGUUUCUAAUGUGUUCUUUUUUGUUUUUUAAGCACCUUGUCAUGUGAACAGAUAAUCUACUCUUAAUCCCAUCCAGUGUACUUUUUGUUGUAGAUAUUGUAAUUUUCAAUUCUAGAAUUUCGAUUUGGGUCUGUAUGUUCUUUGAAUAUGCAGAAUAUAAUUAUAAGGACUGUU
This 661-nucleotide long non-coding RNA is filed under the name Homo sapiens (human). Its description in RNAcentral is "non-protein coding lnc-PTTG1-5:1". Lineage: Eukaryota; Metazoa; Chordata; Mammalia; Primates; Hominidae. The record is from RNAcentral.